GAAAAAUACAAAUAAAUAAGAGAAUAAGAUACAUUUGCUGAGGUGUUUUUUAAUCUUUUUCUUUGCUGUGAUACUGUGUGCUAACCAUCGAGUAUGUGAAAGCAGGAUGGAAAAUCAGGAAGAAAAACACAACUGUGCCGAUGUCUGAAUGGUUUGGUCAUCAUCGUCCGGGAGUGAGCACCGGGGUGUCUGCAUCAGUUGAACAGUCUCUUCAUCUGUGACAGGAAGCAAACCUCUGCAUUUUCUUCACUGCUUGAGUGACAGCGGUCCAGGCCUGUAACUGACCUGUAGAGGGAUCAGGGGGUGGGAGGUAUCCAUACUUCGUGAGCCAAUCCUGCCAAACAGAACAACAUGAAACCA
This is a long non-coding RNA of Onychostoma macrolepis, 360 nucleotides long. RefSeq lists it as uncharacterized. The record is from RefSeq and is a predicted model, not a curated record. The transcript is spliced from 3 exons. Lineage: Eukaryota; Metazoa; Chordata; Actinopteri; Cypriniformes; Cyprinidae.